UCUCUCAUUCUCUCACACCCGCCUCACUCCUCACAGUCACGCCAGCCUCAGUCCUCACCCGCCGUUUCCAUCUCCAUCGAUCUGGAAAAGAUUGAGAUUGAAAAGCCUUUCUGAACGAACGACCCAUCUCCAUCUUCAUCUCCAUCUCCAUCUCCAUUGUAGUUUCAGCCUUUCUGAAUUUUUAUUUUGGGGAGCGGACGGGACUGUUUCAACUUUCCUCAAUAUCAACGACCCACUCCAUCUCCAUCCUUGAUUCAAUUCAUUUGGCGAUUCCAUGACGUACUAAUAAAUAUCCUAAGGAAGGCAGCAACAAACUACAAGAUUCUGGCCAUUUAAAUUCAGAAAAGGCUUGUUGAAACCAGAAUCGAGUAGGAGCAAACCCAGAGAAAUCUAAGGAUGCUCAACACAGGUAUGACCAAGUUGGAUAACUUGCUUUCACAACAAAACGUUAGUAGUGAUAAUUGGGGCUCGGCCACAAUGGUCAAGAAACCUUAGAAAAGAUCAUUUUUGUGAAGGCAACCACCAGCUCUCUAGCAUAGCAUUCUCAAACGUCACAGGGGGAGACAAGAUUAUAGAAGAUGUUGUACCAUUUUCGUUUCAAAAAAUUGUUGCAACAAAUCUUGCAACAGAUCUAGCAACAGUCGGCGCUGAAGACGUGAAAGGGGGUUCCUAACUUCUUACUGUUUUUUUAAAGAUGAUCAGAUUAGCUUGGGCAGUAUUUUUGCAGGUUCCUAACCGGUUUUUCUACUUUGGUCACUAUUUUCUCAAAAAGGGGGAGUAGUGUUAGUGUUAUUUUGUGUGAUUUUGGAGGAGUUAUUUCUUUUGAUAUUCUGUUGAUUU
Long non-coding RNA from Morus notabilis, 840 nucleotides. RefSeq lists it as uncharacterized. The transcript has 3 exons. The record is from RefSeq and is a predicted model, not a curated record. NCBI's taxonomy places the organism in Eukaryota, Viridiplantae, Streptophyta, Magnoliopsida, Rosales, Moraceae.